GCGUGCUUACACAUGCAGUCGACGCAGAGCGAUGGAAGCUUGCUUCUAUCCAUCUUAGUGGCGUACGGGUGAGUUACGCGUUAUCAACCUGCCGUUCAGAGGGGGACAACAGUUGGAAACGACUGCUAAUACCGCAUACGAUCCAAUCUCGGCAUCGAGGAUGGAUGAAAGGUGGCCUCUAUUUAUAAGCUAUCACUGAAGGAGGGGAUUGCGUCUGAUUAGCUAGUUGGAGGGGUAACGGCCCACCAAGGCAAUGAUCAGUAGCCGGUCUGAGAGGAUGAACGGCCACAUUGGGACUGAGACACGGCCCAGACUCCUACGGGAGGCAGCAGUGGGGAAUCUUCCGCAAUGGACGAAAGUCUGACGGAGCAACGCCGCGUGAGUGAUGACGGCCUUCGGGUUGUAAAGCUCUGUUAAUCGGGACGAAAGGUCUUCUUGCGAAUAGUUAGAAGAAUUGACGGUACCGGAA
RNAcentral lists this ribosomal RNA (469 nucleotides) under Veillonella parvula. RNAcentral describes it as "bacterial SSU rRNA". It matches the Rfam family "Bacterial small subunit ribosomal RNA", at positions 42 to 483 of the family's 1533-position model. The record is from RNAcentral. Lineage: Bacteria; Bacillati; Bacillota; Negativicutes; Veillonellales; Veillonellaceae.